Molecule: ribosomal RNA, 532 nt
Filed under: uncultured fungus
Lineage: Eukaryota; Fungi
Description: SSU rRNA
Rfam family: Eukaryotic small subunit ribosomal RNA
Source: RNAcentral
GUUAUCGUUUAUUUGAUAGUACCUUACUACUUGGAUAACCGUGGUAAUUCUAGAGCUAAUACAUGCUAAAAACCCCGACUUCGGAAGGGGUGUAUUUAUUAGAUAAAAAACCAAUGCCCUUCGGGGCUCCUUGGUGAUUCAUAAUAACUUAACGAAUCGCAUGGCCUUGUGCCGGCGAUGGUUCAUUCAAAUUUCUGCCCUAUCAACUUUCGAUGGUAUGGUCUUGGCUUACCAUGGUUUCAACGGGUAACGGGGAAUUAGGGUUCUAUUCCGGAGAGGGAGCCUGAGAAACGGCUACCACAUCCAAGGAAGGCAGCAGGCGCGCAAAUUACCCAAUCCCGACACGGGGAGGUAGUGACAGUAAAUACUGAUACAGGGCUCUUUUGGGUCUUGUAAUUGGAAUGAGUACAAUUUAAAUCCCUUAACGAGGAACAAUUGGAGGGCAAGUCUGGUGCCAGCAGCCGCGGUAAUUCCAGCUCCAAUAGCGUAUAUUAAAGUUGUUGCAGUUAAAAAGCUCGUAGUUGAACCUUGG